Molecule: long non-coding RNA, 3795 nt
Organism: Physeter macrocephalus (sperm whale)
Lineage: Eukaryota; Metazoa; Chordata; Mammalia; Artiodactyla; Physeteridae
Exons: 3
Source: RefSeq, a predicted model, not a curated record
CACCGCCUCGCGCACCUGGACGAGUGCCCCGUCGUCACCAAGCUGCCAGAGAGCCCCUUGUGCUCAGGCAACAGAGCCCCAUUUUCAACACCACUUAUCUCAAGACCAAAACAAUGCCAGGUUGUCAAGGCGCAUCUCAAUCUUACCAUGUCCAAAUACGUAUCAUAAUUUUCAAGGACAGAUGAUUCUGAACCGUGAAACUUGCUGACGUACACAUGACAAGUCAUGUUAGGAAAGAGGCAGGUAACUGUAAUACGUGCUCUGAAAUGAGAACUAAGUAUAAACGUAAUACUCUAUGUAUGACAUCAAGUGGGAGAUUCGUUCUGCAUUCCAUAAAUACUUAUUUGAUAUCAGCUGUGCGUCACCCCAGGUUAGGGCUUCUCAGUCUCAGCGCUGCUGACAUCUGGGGACAAUACUUCUUGGUUGAAGGGGACCGUCCUGUGCACCGUAGGACGUUAGCAACAUCCCUGGCCUUGAGCCGGCAGAAGUCAGUAGCACCGCCCCUCUCCUUCAGUGACGACCAAAAAUGUCCCUGGCGUUGGCAAAUGUCUCCUGGGGGCCACAAGCACCCCCAGGGAAAACAGCUGUUGAGGAGAUGGGAAUGUAACGCUAGGGAAGACGAAGGUCUGUCCUCCUGGAGCUGACAAGUGGGGGCCAGGGAGAGGGACAAUCCCAAUAAACAUAUUAUAAAACACCAGACUGUGAUACGUAUGAUGAAGGAAAGUAAAGCAGGGCCAAGGGCUACAGGGUGCUGGAGGGGAGGGCUGUGUGGUGACGGGUGGGCUGAGUAGGGAGGAAAGGAGGCUACGGCUCCUGGGGGACCUGCCAGGUGGCCGUCAGACCUCUGUUAGUUGAUUCUCGACAGCAUGAGGAGCCACGGGAGGGUUUUCAUCAGGAGCGGGGGAUAAUAUAAUCCAAUGCGUAGCAGAAGAAUCUCUGGCUGCCGGACGGGCAGGAGAGAAAAUGGAGACCGGCCAGGAAGGCUCUGACAGUGGCCCAGGUAGAGAGCAAGGUUAGGCUGGGGUGAUGUCAGCAGGAACGGUGGUGAGAGGCCAGCCAGAUUAGAGACGGCCGGAUGUCAUGGUCAGGUGGGAGACAGGUUUCAGAGGAAGAGUUCACUUGACUUGAGGGUGAGAUGGAUUUGCAGUAAGAGAAAGGAAGUUUGCCUAAGUUUUUGCAACUGGGAGGGAAGUAACGGUGGAAGAACAGAUGGGGAUGGGGUGUGGGAGAAGGGACACAGAAAUCAGAAGCUCUGUUUCAAACAGGUUCCAUUUGAGACCCUGUUUACCCUCCAAGCCUGGACGCUGCAAUGGCAGGUGGACACACGAGGCCGGGGCCCAGGACAGAGGCUGGAUGGGGAUAUCAACGUAGGAGACUUCACAUGUGUGGACGGUAUGAAAGCCCGUGGAAGGCAGGCGAUCGCCCGGAGAAGAUGGAGAAGUCCGAGGAUGUGCCCAGCGGCACAGGAACACUUCGCGGGGAGCCAGAGGAGGGGGAUUCAGCAGAGAAGACCAAGAGAAGCAGCCGGUGAGGCAGGAGGACAGUGAGAAGCACGCGGUGGCCCGGAUGGUAAGCGACGAAGGUGUUUCACGGACUGAGCGAGCCAGCGGGUCACGUGGUGCUGAGAGGUGGAGCGGCCUGCAGACCGAGACGGACCAUUAAAUCUGCCGAGGUGAAGAGCAACCUUGAAAGAAUGGUGGCAGACAAGCAUCGAGGAGAGAAACCUGACUGCAGUGGGUUGGGGAGAGAAAAGGAGAUGAGGAAGUAAGAAUGGAGAAAUCCUUCAAGGAGUCUUGCUCUAAAGGAGUGGAGAGUCAUGGGGUGGAAGCUGGAAGGGGCUGUGAGGUCCAGAAGGAGUUUUUUCCCUUUAAGUUGGAGGGAAUGAGCCCACAGAGAGGGAAGCAUUGAUGAGCAAUGGUGCACAAGAUGGGGUAACAGAAGAAGCAAAAUCCUUGAGUUUUGUGCUCAAGAAGCAACUGGGCUCAACGCUGACGUGAAAAGGUGGCCUUGGGCUGGACUGCGGACGGCGUGCACGUGGCACUGGGAAGGGAAGGAGAGUAUUCUGUUACAGACACAGGCAGGCCCGUAGGUUUGGCGGUCGCAGAAUGAAGUAGAGUUGCCUUAUUUUCUCCAAAACGCCGACACCAUCCCGCGUGCGUGCCGGGGACAGGCUGCUGGGAGCGGGGGAGGAAGGAGGACGCCGUUCCCAAUCCUGCAGCAGGUGCAAAGUGAGCGGACGGCGGGAAGGAGGCAGGGGAACUGUGGUUAAUACUGAGCUCCGUAGUUCUAAAUCUGGGGUAACAAAUCCGAAACACUCCAAUCGGCAAGACAACGUUUUUCCACUCUGCCUUCUUCCGCUGUUCGGGCAGGCGGAGAGUUGAACGUAACCGGGUUUGGGGUCUUGCCGGCUGGCCGUGUGGGAGGGGAAGCGGGGAGCAGGGCUGAGUGUCUCCCGACGAGCGGUUCCUGGGACGGACCAAGGACUCAUACAGAUCACAGAGCCCAGGUCAAACUAACCUCUUGGCAGCUAAAUAAAUUCAAGUGCAUAUUCGCUGAUAUAGAAAGACUGGCUAUAGUGAAUGUCAAAAUAGAAUAAUUUUAAAGAUGGGGAAAAUAUAAGAAGAUCCUCAAGACAUACUACCUGGGAUCAAAGGUGAGCACUUAGGAUAGGGCCUUCCUACGACACAAACAAUUUCAUGCUUCUGACAGCCAAGAAUAUAUUAUUAGUUCCAGAUUUACAGGAAACAAGGUGCUUGUGGGAAGUUUUUCUUUAGGUAAAUUGAGUAUCUGACCUCUAAUUAUAUUAGAUUAAGAUAGGCCCUGCCAAGAAAUUAAGCUAUUACUCAGAUGAGUCCACAGAGGAGGCACAAUAAACAAAGUAGCAGCCUAUCCCCAAAUGAGUUCCUCAAGUACCAAUGAGAAUACCUUGCUGGUUCUUCAUUAUUUCAAAACACGGCAUCUCUGAGCUAUAUUAACACAUCUAAGCCCAGCACCUGCCAUCAGGUCAUUGGUCUAUAAAUGCUAGCUGUGAUUAUGACUCAUAAUUACCACGUGAAGACCCAACAAUCUUCCUGUCUUCAGGGAACUCAGAGCCUCGCAGGAGAGACAGAAGAUUUCGUAGAUGCCUUGUGGUGCACGGGAGGUGCAUGCUGUAUGAUGAGAUACUCAAGGUGCUAUGGGGGUCUUAGAAGGGAGGCCCAGCCCAGCCGGAUUUCAUGGCGGGAGGUGUGCAGACGGAGGAACGUUUGGUUUUCAUGAACUAAGAGCUUCUAGGAGGACAGGCUCAAUCAUGUGAAAGGACCAUCAUGUAACCAAACGCGUCUGGCUCUGGGCAAGGAGAACAUUACCUAUGAUUACACAUCAACUUACUAAAUCUUAAACCCAAUUUCAAGGCCAGAGGAGGUCUAAGAAGCAACAACACACUUCGAAAACUCUUGUGGGUCUUCCCAAGCAGGUGGCACAGGAUGGGAGUUGGAUACUAUGAGGCUACAAAUCCAUCCAGGCUACAUAUAAAUGACUGUCCUGUAGAGAAUCCUCCUUCAGUCUCUGAAGAAACCAGAGUCUAACUCUUAGGACUCAGAAUCCUGACUGCCGGCGUUUGCCAUGGCAAGGUGUCCAUUCACUGAGGAUACAGAAUAUGAAUAUGUAAGUAUUUGUACUAAAAGGAUACAUAAAUGUGUGUGUGUGUUCAUGUGUAUAAGGGAGCGGGGCAGGGGGAAAACAUGCAAACUUUAAUAAAAAUGUAACACAGAGAUGAAGCGGGGAUUAAUAAAACUCGAUUCAGACCAAGUGUCU